AGGGUUUGAUCAUGGCUCAGAACGUACGCUGGCGGCACGCCUUAUACAUGCAAGUCGAACGAAGUAGCAAUACUUAGUGGCGGACGGGUGAGUAACAUGUAGGUAUCUUCCCUUUGGUGAGGAAUAACACGAGGAAACUUGUGCUAAUACCUCAUAAGUCUUUACGGAGAAAGCUUUAUGCGCCGAAGGAUGAGCCUGCACUUGAUUAGUUUGUUGGUGGGGUAAUGGCCUACCAAGACUUUGAUCAAUAGCUGAUCUGAGAGGAUGAUCAGCCACAUUGGGACUGAGACACGGCCCAAACUCCUACGGGAGGCAGCAGUAGGGAAUAUUGCACAAUGGAGGAAACUCUGAUGCAGCGAUGCCGCGUGAGUGAAGAAGGCCUUUGGGUUGUAAAGCUCUUUCGUCGGGGAAGAAAAUGACUGUACCCGAAUAAGAAGGUCCGGCUAACUUCGUGCCAGCAGCCGCGGUAAUAC
RNAcentral lists this ribosomal RNA (473 nucleotides) under uncultured bacterium. RNAcentral's name for it is "bacterial SSU rRNA". It matches the Rfam family "Bacterial small subunit ribosomal RNA", at positions 8 to 526 of the family's 1533-position model. The record is from RNAcentral.